Molecule: non-coding RNA, 268 nt
Filed under: Oxobacter pfennigii
Lineage: Bacteria; Bacillati; Bacillota; Clostridia; Eubacteriales; Clostridiaceae
Description: T-box sequence
Rfam family: T-box leader
About the family: Uncharged tRNA acts as the effector for transcription antitermination of genes in the T-box leader family. T-boxes are found upstream of many aminoacyl-tRNA synthetase genes and some amino acid biosynthetic genes usually in Gram-positive bacteria.
Source: RNAcentral
GUAAAGAUGUUGACGGGAAGAGUAAGCAGUGAAGAAAUCUUAAAGAGAGCCGGAUCAGGUGAAAGCCGGUGUUUUCAAAGCUGUUGAACAUGGCCCCUGAAUCGCACAGUCGAAAAAAGUAUGGAUAUUUAAUAGUAUCAAUAGCCUUUAUUUAAACUGUGCCGGAAGCAGCCGUUAAAAUUGCAGGGUGAUUAUUGUCACUUGUUGAGUCCCAUAUCGUGAGAUAUGGGAGAAUUAGGGUGGUAACGCGUUUAAACUCGCCCCUUCU